GACGAACGCUGGCGGCGUGCUUAACACAUGCAAGUCGAACGAAGAGCGACGGAAGCUUGCUUCUAUCAAUCUUAGUGGCGACCGGGUGAGUCACGCGUAAUCAACCUGCCCUUCAGAGGGGGACAACAGUUGGAAACGACUGCUAAUACCGCAUACGAUCUAACCUCGGCAUCGAGGAUAGAUGAAAGGUGGCCUCUACAUGUAAGCUAUCACUGAAGGAGGAGAUUGCGUCUGAUUAGCUAGUUGGAGGGGUAACGGCCAACCAAGGCGAUGAUCAGUAGCCGGUCAGAGAGGAUGAGCGGCCACAUUGGGACUGGGACACGGCCCAGACUCCUACGGGAGGCAGCAGUGGGGGAGCUUCCGAAAGGGACGAAAGUCUGACGGAGAAACGCCGCGUGAGUGAUGACGGCCUUCGGGUUGUAAAGCUCUGUUAAUCGGGACGAAAGGCCUUCUUGCGAAUAGUGAGAAGGAUUGACGGUACCGGAAUAGAAAGCCACGGCUAACUACGUG
RNAcentral lists this ribosomal RNA (510 nucleotides) under uncultured bacterium. Its description in RNAcentral is "partial 16S ribosomal RNA". It matches the Rfam family "Bacterial small subunit ribosomal RNA", at positions 28 to 507 of the family's 1533-position model. The record is from RNAcentral.